AGGGGGGCCCCAGGGCAAUAAGUACUGCUAAUCCUUAAACUCACGGUUAGACUCCGUGGCUCCCUCG
This 67-nucleotide transfer RNA is filed under the name Moxostoma albidum (longlip jumprock). Its description in RNAcentral is "tRNA-Ser". The record is from RNAcentral. Lineage: Eukaryota; Metazoa; Chordata; Actinopteri; Cypriniformes; Catostomidae.